CACCACCCGAUCCCAUCCCGAACUCGGAAGUGAAACGCAGCUGCGCCGAUGGUAGUGUGGCUCAAGCCAUGCGAGAGUAGGUCAUCGCCAGGG
This 93-nucleotide ribosomal RNA is filed under the name Stenotrophomonas maltophilia. The record is from RNAcentral. Lineage: Bacteria; Pseudomonadati; Pseudomonadota; Gammaproteobacteria; Lysobacterales; Lysobacteraceae.